Molecule: ribosomal RNA, 335 nt
Filed under: uncultured Leptolinea sp.
Lineage: Bacteria; Bacillati; Chloroflexota; Anaerolineae; Anaerolineales; Anaerolineaceae
Description: bacterial SSU rRNA
Rfam family: Bacterial small subunit ribosomal RNA
Source: RNAcentral
ACAGGUUGCUGCAUGGCUGUCGUCAGUCUCGUGUCGUGAGAUGUUCGGUUAAGUCCGCUAACGAGCGCAACCCUCGUCGUGUGUUAUACGUGUCACACGAUACUGCCGGUAUCAAGCCGGAGGAAGGUGGGAUGAUGUCAAGUCAGCAUGGCCUUUAUAUCCUGGGCUACACACACGCUACAAUGGCAGAUACAAUAGGUUGCGAAGCCGCGAGGUGGAGCCAAUCCUCAAAGUCUGUCUCAGUUCAGAUUGUAGGCUGCAACUCGCCUGCAUGAAGUUGGAGUUGCUAGUAAACGCAGGUCAGCUAUACUGCGUUGAAUACGUUCCCGGGGUUU